RNAcentral lists this ribosomal RNA (253 nucleotides) under uncultured bacterium. Its description in RNAcentral is "partial 16S ribosomal RNA". It matches the Rfam family "Bacterial small subunit ribosomal RNA", at positions 524 to 776 of the family's 1533-position model. The record is from RNAcentral.
UACGUAGGGGGCAAGCGUUGUCCGGAAUUAUUGGGCGUAAAGAGCUCGUAGGCGGUCCUUUAAGUCGGAAGUGAAAUCUCAGGGCUCAACCCUGAAAUUGCUUUCGAUACUGGCGGACUUGAGGCAGGUAGGGGAGAGCGGAAUUCCUGGUGUAGCGGUGAAAUGCGCAGAUAUCAGGAGGAACACCGGUGGCGAAGGCGGCUCUCUGGGCCUGUACUGACGCUGAGGAGCGAAAGCGUGGGGAGCGAACAGG